GUACCAGCUGUGUACCGAGGUCGAUGUAAUCGACUAACUCACUCCUCCGAAACUGCUGGCCUUGUGCCAAAAUUUGAAACCAAUAUUUGUGAUCUUCUGUUGAUGUUAGACAUUGAUACUUGACUUUUGGCGAGAAGCAAAAAUAGCAAAUCACAUAAGGAAUACUUCUGAUGACGUCAUAAUAGCUAGCCUUGGAUUAUCAAAAUAAUGUUCCCGCUUUAAGCACAUUCUUUCGUUACCAAAACUCAUACAAAAAUGGCUGUAAAAGAAACCAAACAAGCGACGUUUAAUCAAUUGAAAUUGUCGACAUUACAAAAACAUUGUUAUUGCAUGAACGAGCGCAAUAUUAUGACGUCAUGAGAGCUAUUCAUUUUUAAGAUUAAAAAAAAGGUCAGUUAAAUGAGAAUCUGUUUUGCCGAAGAAAAACAAAUUUCGGUGAAUUGUUUUAAAUAACCAACGAUAAGGUUUCGUUUGUUCUCAUCUAACGAAACCGAAACAAUGUAGAGACAACUGAAUGACCAGCGGUAUCAACAUUGCCAAGGUAUACAGAUAUAACACGGCAAAUGUUGUUUUCUUUCUUUCUUUCUUUUCAGAGCAGCGUUAGCAGCUGUUCGUUGAACCUGUUUCAAUAGUGUCGAGGGUCACGCCUGGCAUUACCAAAUCUUACGAACAAGGAACGAGCUAAGAUAGCAGCACGCUAUGAAAUGUGGAAUUCUUUUGUCUUGGUUCAGAGAUGGCACGCAUGGAAAGGUAAGCCUGCAACAGUACGUCCGGAGACAAUAAAAAGUUGCCAUGCAAAGCUGAUGACCACGGGGAGGAAGAAGUGGCCGUCCAACCACAUCUCGAUCAGCGGAGAACGUGGCAACAGUGCAGGUAAUGUUUAAUCACAGCAAACAAAAAUCAACACGUCAAGCAGCUCGUGAAAGUGGACCGACGAAACACACCAUAAGUACGGUGUUGUAUAAAGAAUUGAAUUUUCGUCCGUGGUAACCCCAUUACAUGCAGGAGCUAAAACCUGAGGACUAUGACUGCAGAAGUCCAUAACUCCAAGAAGUCCAGAUCUCACUCCAUGUGAUUUUUACCUGUGGGUUUGCACAAAAGAGGUGUACAAGACAAAACCUUGCACACUGGAGGACUUGGAGACACAGAUUCAGGAGGUUCUCAAUGAUAUCCCAGACAACGUCUUUCAGAAGGUUGUUCAUUCCAUCCCUGGCCGUAUGAGGAAACUGGUUGGCACCACCGGUGCUUACGUUGAAAUAUGAAGAUUUACUUUCAUUUUGCCAUGUAAUAAAAAGACAUAUAUCAUUUGUUUCAAUA
This is a long non-coding RNA of Octopus bimaculoides (California two-spot octopus), 1317 nucleotides long. RefSeq lists it as uncharacterized. The record is from RefSeq and is a predicted model, not a curated record. NCBI's taxonomy places the organism in Eukaryota, Metazoa, Mollusca, Cephalopoda, Octopoda, Octopodidae.